This is a long non-coding RNA of Lutra lutra (Eurasian river otter), 1305 nucleotides long. RefSeq lists it as uncharacterized. The transcript is spliced from 3 exons. NCBI's taxonomy places the organism in Eukaryota, Metazoa, Chordata, Mammalia, Carnivora, Mustelidae. The record is from RefSeq and is a predicted model, not a curated record.
GUGGAGCUGACAGUCUGGAUGGGGAGACAGACUCGGCAGACAGAGCACCAUAUAAAGUUAUCAUCACAGAUUCGGUCUCCAGCCUGGGUCUGGAUUCCCCCAGGGUAGCUGCUCCCUUGUGAAGUCAGUCCUCCAAUGAAGGGGUUCUGCCCUAAGCCCCCACUGGGCCUGUGGAAUUUUCGACCUUGAAGAAAGAAUGCCCUACUUUCCACCAAGAAGCAAUCAGGAUUCUGGAACCUGGCCAAUCAGGUCCGCAGGAGGAAACUAAAGCUCCAAGAGGUGAGUGGCUUUUCCAAGGCCACACAAUUGGUUGGAAGCAGAACCAGGAUGAAAACCCGCCCAAUAUGGCUCAGAAGGCCUGGAACUGUUAAAGGUCACACCUUCUUGCUCCUGAAUUGUGUCUUUGGAGAAUCACAGAGCUCUGGCCAGUGUGUGACCAAGACCAGCCAGGCACUCAGGAGACCCAGGCCUGGCUCUCUGUGUAGGUUUUUUUUUUUUUUUUUUUUAAUUUGACAGAGAGGGAGAGAGAGAGAGAACAAGUAGGCAGAGCAGCAGGCAAACGGAGAGGGAGAAUCAGGCUCCCCACUGAGCAGGGAGCCCAAUUCGGGGCUCGAUCCCCGGACCCCGGACUCAUGACCUGAGCUGAAGGCAGAUGCUGCACUGACUGAGCCACCCAGGCGCUCCUCUCUGUGUAAUAUGGAGGAACUACAGGCUUCUUUGGAUGCCGUCUUCCAGCUCAGUGAAAUAAGGGGGCUGGUCUGGAAUAAUUUUUUUAAGCAGUGCAACUUGCCAGACAGUUGAGACCCCAAUAUAUAAAACAGACCAUACUCACAAAAUUUACGUUGUCAGCAUUUAGCUGGAAAUUCUUCUUGCUGUACAGAAUUUCGGAGACUCUGCUCCAUAGCCUGAGGCUUCCAGAAGCAGAGUAUGAAAACGUGUGGUUUAAUUGUUCUCUAAGGACUUUUGGGGCUUUAAAAUUAAAUCCAACAUUUAAUUCAAACAUUUCGUUUGUUCAUCCCACAAAAAUGUUUGAACUGCGUAAGAUUUGCCAGGCACUGGUCCAGGCACUGGGGCAUCGGAGAUGAGCUAGACCAGGAUCUCUCCAACCUCGGCACUAUUGUUGCUUGGGGCCAGAUGAUUCUUUGUCUUGUGUUGGGCCUCGCAGAAUGUUUAGCAGUAUUCCUGGUCUCUAUUCACUAGAUGCCAGUAGCUCCUGCCCAGUGUGAGAGCCCCGAAUGUCUUCAGAUGUUGCCAAAUUGACCUUGGCGGGCAAAAAUCCACCCUGGUUAAGAAUUACUGAGCUAA